Molecule: RNA transcript, 1761 nt
Organism: Panicum virgatum (switchgrass)
Lineage: Eukaryota; Viridiplantae; Streptophyta; Magnoliopsida; Poales; Poaceae
Gene name: probable serine/threonine-protein kinase At1g54610
Exons: 4
Source: RefSeq, a predicted model, not a curated record
CGGUGACCUCGGCCCCGCGCCAUGAGCUGUGUGCACGGCCGCCGGUACACCACCAGCCCCGCGGCCCCCGUCACCUCCUCCCGCCGCCGGGACCACCCCGUGGGCUCCUAGCCGCAGCAGGAGGGGGUCGACUCCUCCGACGCCGCCGCGGCGCCGGAGCAGCAGACGGACCAGAAGCCUGAGAAGCCGGCGCAGGUGAAGAGGAAGCGCCGGUCGCGGUCGUCGAGCUCCGCCGCCGCGGCGGCGCAAGCGGAGGUGCGCAUGGGCGGGAGCUUCGCCAACAAGGCGCGCGGCGAGCAGGUCGCCGCCGGCUGGCCCGCCUGGCUCUCCGCCGUCGCCGGCGAGGCCAUCAAUGGCUGGACCCCGCGCCGCGCCGACUCCUUCGAGAAGAUCGACAAGAUCGGCCAGGGCACGUACAGCAAUGUGUACAAGGCACGGGACUCGCUGAGUGGCAAGAUCGUGGCGCUCAAGAAGGUGCGCUUCGACAACUUGGAGCCGGAGAGCGGGCGCGCACUGCGGGGGUGCCCCCGGCCUUCGCCGUCUCCCUGAGGCCCGUGAGGAAGUGCCUGGCGGAGCCCGCGACGGCGGCGGCGUCGCAGCCGGGGUCCUCGAGGACCUGCUGCCCGCGCAGCGCCUCGGCGCAGAGGACGUCGCGCAGCAGGGCUGCCGCCACAGGCCGCGGGCGCGAUAUGGGCCGUGCCCGCCGGUACGGUCUGCGCAACGCGGAGCUGCCCCCCGAGGCCGCCAGCGUGCGGGAGCUCGCGGCGCAAAUCGCUGGCAUCCUCGGCGGUGGUUGCAAGGUGCGCCAGCAUCCUCUGCCCUCGCCGCCCCGCGCCAUGGCACGUAGGUCUGCGGGAUGGAAGGGAGCGCCGUAAGCGGCCUGCAGCGGGACCAAUGAAGUCGGCGCCGGCGCGGCGGCGGCGGCCUGGCCCUUCAUGCCGUACACGCCGGCGCAGUAGCGUGGGAGAGAUGGUGUUGACGGAGUGCCCUGCUUUGCUUCUCUUCCUCCUUGGCCAGAGCAACGAAGCUGAUAUUUGGUGUGCUAUGAGGGACAAGACAAUACAACCUGGGUAUGCUAUCUGAAUAGCAAAUGACGAUGUGGUGCCAGGACGUACUGCUGGACUAGAGCCAUCGAAACUAUCAGGGCUUGGCUUCGUGACUGAAUAUGAGUGCAUUCUGCUUCUUUGUUAUGAUUCUCUUUAGAAGCAUGGGUUCCAUUUUCUUAGCAUGUGAAUUAGACUCUGUUUAAUGGGAUUGCUUCAAAUGUGCUCAAUGGGCCUGCAUUUACAGACUUCAGUAGUGAGUAGUGACUGACCAAAUGCCAACUCGGUUUUAUUUGGAUGGUGAACAUAAUCAAACUACACUAGAUUGCAGAUUACUAUAUCUGCAUUUGCUUCAUUUCACUCCGGAAUACUUGUUUCAAAAACUUCUGAUGUGUAAAUACAUCCUGCCUGUUUUCAAGUUCCCAUUUUUAGGUCUCAUAAUGUUUGUGCUUAUUGCUACAUGCAUUGAUGUAGUAGUACAUGCUAAUAUUUAUGUUUAAAUAAAGUGGUAGACAUGUACUGAGUUUUUUCUAUAUUUAUCUUUACUCUUGAGUUAUAAAAAUAUUUCUUGAGUUUUAAAAAUAUUUCUUGUGUGGCACUUUGAUAUUCUUUGACCAUGUUUCAGAAAAUCCUGGCUAUUUCGUUUCUUUAUCAUCCCUAAAAAAUCAAUGUGCUUAGGCUCGGGUGCUGGUGGUACUAGGUUAAUUGAAUAAUAUGC